This 253-nucleotide ribosomal RNA is filed under the name uncultured bacterium. RNAcentral describes it as "partial 16S ribosomal RNA". It matches the Rfam family "Bacterial small subunit ribosomal RNA", at positions 524 to 776 of the family's 1533-position model. The record is from RNAcentral.
GACGAAGGGGGCUAGCGUUGUUCGGAAUUACUGGGCGUAAAGCGUGUGUAGGUGGUUGCCGUAGUCAGGUGUGAAAGCCUUGAGCUCAACUCAAGAAAUGCACUUGAUACUGGGCAGCUAGAGGACCGGAGAGGAUAGUGGAAUUCCCAGUGUAGUGGUGAAAUACGUAGAGAUUGGGAAGAACACCAGUGGCGAAGGCGGCUAUCUGGACGGUUUCUGACACUAAGACACGAAAGCGUGGGGAGCAAACAGG